GACGAACGCUGGCGGCGUGCUUAACACAUGCAAGUCGAACGGUAAGGCCCUUCGGGGUACACGAGUGGCGAACGGGUGAGUAACACGUGGGUGAUCUGCCCUGCACUUCGGGAUAAGCCUGGGAAACUGGGUCUAAUACCGGAUAGGACCCUGGGAUGCAUGUCCAGGGGUGGAAAGCUUUUGCGGUGUGGGAUGGGCCCGCGGCCUAUCAGCUUGUUGGUGGGGUGAUGGCCUACCAAGGCGACGACGGGUAGCCGGCCUGAGAGGGUGACCGGCCAGACUGGGACUGGGAUACGGCCCAGACUCCUACGGGAGGCAGCAGUGGGGAAUAUUGCACAAUGGGCGCAAGCCUGAUGCAGCGACGCCGCGUGAGGGAUGACGGCCUUCGGGUUGUAAACCUCUUUCAGCACCGACGAAGCGCAAGUGACGGUAGGUGCAGAAGAAGGACCGGCCAACUACGUGCCAGCCGCCGCGGUAA
RNAcentral lists this ribosomal RNA (478 nucleotides) under uncultured bacterium. RNAcentral describes it as "partial 16S ribosomal RNA". It matches the Rfam family "Bacterial small subunit ribosomal RNA", at positions 28 to 523 of the family's 1533-position model. The record is from RNAcentral.